AAAUUUUAUUUUCGUCGUAUUGAAGCAUCCCUCAUUAUUAUCGUGUGUUGUUUCCACUUCUAUACUUCACUGGUAAGUGUUCACUCCUUGGUUCCAAGUUCGAAACCCAAUGCUCUCUCGCUCCCUCAAACCUCGUCACAUACUCUUCACUCUCCGUUCAUUGCCGUUAAUCCUCAACCCGAACCCUAACCCAAACCCUUCACUCCGAUCCUCCCCUCACCGUCAAUUCUCUUCUUCAUGGCUUUCCGAACCUGGAAACCCAAUCAUCCAGUGGCCCUCACUUCCCAUACCAAACUCCAACCCAACGUCCGAACCUGCUUCUCCCAACCCAGACGCCUUAUCCGUCAUCGCCAACCUCUUCACCGACCCUUCCGUCUCGCCCGGUCCGCCCCUCCACUCCCGACUCGACCGGUCCGGAAUCGAACCGGACCCGCCCCUCCUGCUCGCGGUGUUCGACCGCUUCGGCUCGUCCCCCAAGCUGCUGCACUCGCUCUUCCUCUGGGCCCAGACACGGCCCGCGUUCCAGCCCGGCCCGAAGCUGUUCGACGCCGUGGUCAACGCGCUCGCCAAGGCCAGGGAGUUUGACUCCGCUUGGAAGCUCGUGCUCGAUCACGUCGACGGAGGGGAAGGAGAGAGCUUGGUUUCCGUUGGGACCUUCGCUAUCAUGAUUCGGCGCUACGCGCGUGCAGGAAUGUCAAAACUUGCAAUUAGAACAUACGAGUUUGGCAGAAAUAACAAGUCAAUUGUGGAUUCUGGCUCAGGAAUGAGUUUGUUUGAGAUAUUGAUGGAUUCACUUUGUAAAGAAGGGUCUGUGAGGGAAGCUUCAGAGUAUUUCCUUUGGAGAAAGGAGUUGGACUUAGGUUGGGUUCCUUCUAUUCGGGUGUAUAACAUAAUGUUAAAUGGAUGGUUUCGAUCGAGGAAACUCAAGCAGGGUGAGAGACUUUGGGAAGAGAUGAAGAAGGAGAAUGUGAGACCAAGUGUUGUGACAUAUGGUACCCUUGUGGAAGGAUAUUGUCGCAUGCGCCGAAUCGAAAAGGCACUUGAAAUGGUUGGGGAUAUGACUAGAGAAGGAAUUGAACCAAAUGCAAUUGUGUAUAACCCAAUAAUUGAUGCAUUAGCAGAAGCUGGAAGAUUUAAAGAGGCCAUGGGCAUGUUGGAACGUUUUCAUGUUCUGGAAAUAGGCCCUACUAAUUCCACAUAUAAUUCUCUGGUAAAGGGGUUUUGUAAGGCAGGAGAUCUUGUAGGUGCUAGUAAGAUUCUCAAAAUGAUGAUAAGUAGGGGUUUCCUCCCAAGUCCAACCACCUAUAACUAUUAUUUUAGGUACUUUUCAAGAUGUGGGAAAAUUGAGGAGGGGAUGAACCUGUAUACAAAGAUGAUUGAAUCUGGUUAUACCCCAGAUCGGCUAACUUACCAUCUUUUGGUGAAGAUGUUAUGUGAGGAAGGGAAGUUAGACUUGGCCGUUCAAGUUAGCAAGGAAAUGAGACAUAAUGGGUAUGACAUGGACUUGGCUACAAGUACCAUGUUAAUUCAUUUGCUUUGCAAAAUGCGUAGGUUGGAAGAGGCUUUUGCGGAAUUUGAGGACAUGAUACGGAGGGGUAUAGUUCCUCAGUAUCUCACUUUUCAGAGAAUGAAAGCUGAGUUAAAGAGACAAGGUAUGACUGAAAUGGCUCAAAAGCUUUGCAAGUUGAUGUCUUCUGUUCCCUAUUCUACCAACUUGCCAGAUACUUAUAGUGAAGACAGAGAUGAUGCACAUGGACGAAGAAAAUCUAUAAUUAAGAAAGCCAAAGCAUUUUCUGAUAUGUUGAAGGACUGUAAGGACCCUAGUGAACUUCGUAAUAAGUAUAGAAGUUCAUCAGAAAAAGCUGUCUCAAAUGCAAACUGUUUGAUAGAGGACAAGGGGGAAAAAGUGCAGGAUGAAAAUCUGUGAUCUUAGUAUCAAAAGGGAGCAAUUGUGGACAGUUUGAACUCGUGGGAAUCAGUUUACAUUUGUUCAAAAAAUUUCUGCUGUACUUCCCUAUGCAAUUUGUAGGCAUCAUAGUAAUAAAGUAAGCAGAUCAGUGCACGAGUUACUAUUGUCUACAUUAGCAUGUGCAAACAGAGUUCGUUAUACAGAAAUAGCCUACACUUUCAGGUAGCUGAAAGGGCCCUUUUCUUAUGGAACAAUGACCACUUUGUCAACUUGAUUGCGCAUAACCGUCAAGUGAUCCUGCCCAUCAUAUUUCCCGCUUUAGAUAGUGUUCAAAGCCAUUGGAACCCGGCAGUCAUCAACCUAACACACAAUAUUAGAAAGAUGUUCUUGGAGAUGGAUGAGAAGCUCUUCAUUUCUUGUCACAAUCACUUUAAGGAAGGACCUUUUAACAAUUCAUUCUCAUGAUAACAACCUUAGAACAACCUUAGAAAAUCUUUCUAGAAUCUUUUAACAUAAAAAUAAAAUAAACUAUUUGUGACAAAAAAAAUAUGAUCAAGCUGUGUUCAUAAAGUUUUUUCAACCAAAUUAUUAAGGUGGGGGAUGGUAAAUAAAUAUUUAAAGACCGCUAACACACUGUUCUUGUCUCGAAAAGUUCACAACCCUUCUCAAGUUAAUGGAUCAUCUA
Molecule: RNA transcript, 2594 nt
Organism: Cajanus cajan (pigeon pea)
Lineage: Eukaryota; Viridiplantae; Streptophyta; Magnoliopsida; Fabales; Fabaceae
Gene name: Pentatricopeptide repeat (PPR) superfamily protein
Source: RefSeq, a predicted model, not a curated record